AAUAUUUAUAUUAAAAUAUUUUAAUAAUAAAUUUUAAUUAAAAUAUUUAAUAUUAUAUUGUUUUUUUAAUUAUUAAUUAAAUAAAUUUCAGUAAAAAAUCAUGUAAUUUAAUCUGUGUGCCAAAUAAUUUUUUGUAAAAAUUUGUUAGUAAUUAAAUUAUUUUAUGAAGAUAUAUGUGAAAAAAAAUUAUUGAAAAAUUAAUAUAAGUUAAAAAUGUACUAAAUUUAAUAGAUAUAUUAAAUAUUAGUUAUUUUAUUUUAUUUUAUAAAAAUAUUUUCUACAAAUUUUAAUAAGUAUUUUGUUUAAUUAACUAAAAUUAAUCAUAAAAAAUUAAAAAUUAUAAAAAAUUAGUUAAAAAUAUAAA
Molecule: long non-coding RNA, 364 nt
Filed under: Ananas comosus (pineapple)
Lineage: Eukaryota; Viridiplantae; Streptophyta; Magnoliopsida; Poales; Bromeliaceae
Description: long non-coding RNA (ACOM_LNC037836)
Source: RNAcentral